AUUUAAAGGACGCAGUACCCUGACUGUGGUAAUGUAGCAUAAUCAUUCGCCAUUUAAUUGAUGGAUAGUAUGAAUGGUUGAACGAAUUCUUCACUGUCUUAAAAAGAGAAAUCAUGAAAUUAAAAUAAUAGUUAAGAUGCUAUUUAAAAUUGUAAGACGAAAAGACCCUAUAGAGCUUAACUACAAGCUUUUUUAAAAUAUAGAAAUCAUACUUCUUAAUAUAAAAAGCUAGGUAGUUUAGUUGGGGCGACUAUCUUCUAAAAAUAACGAAGACAAGCAAUGUUAAUAAUUAACUUAUUGUAUAAUUAAUAAAUUUAACAAUUACAAAAGUAGGCUAUAAUGACCCGUUAUAAUUAAAUAAUAAAUGUAACGAUUAAUAAAUAAAAGCUACCUUAGGGAUAACAGGAUAAUUUUGUUUUAGAGAUCCUAUCGAAAACAAAGUUUGUCACCUCUAUGUUGAAUUAAG
Molecule: ribosomal RNA, 466 nt
Filed under: Schuchertinia conchicola
Lineage: Eukaryota; Metazoa; Cnidaria; Hydrozoa; Anthoathecata; Hydractiniidae
Description: partial 16S ribosomal RNA
Rfam family: Bacterial large subunit ribosomal RNA
Source: RNAcentral